GAGAUCCGGCCGCUGCACUCCAGCCUGGGCGACAGAGCGAGACUCCGUCUCAAAAUAAAUAAAUAAUAAAUAAAAUAAAAUAAAAUAAAAAAAUAAAGUAAAAACAACGUUAUGAGGAAAUGGUGGAAAUGCAACCACAGAUGGAACAGCUACUCAGAAAGCGUUUUUUCAGAAAAAGCAUUCUGGAUACGAAUCAGCGUGCAGAGAUGGAGUCUUGCACUGUUGCCCAGGCUGGAGUAUAGUCAUGCAGAUGCUAACCAGGUAGGGAUACCUGUUCUGGACCCAGGAGGGCCUAGGGCACCAUCACAUGCAUCGUCAGCACCCAGGCCAGGAGAGGGGCCCAGCAGGGAACCUCCUUGAGUCCUCCCAAGAGGCUACAGGAAGCGUGCGCCUCUCUCCUGCUCACGAGGCUUCCUGUGCCAAUCACUGGAUCUGUGCAGGGGCAGGGGCUUAAGGAGGCUCCAGGUCUUGUGGGGACUGAACCUGUGGUGCCCUCUGGAGUCUGUGCUCUGCAGUGAGUGAGACGCCCCUGCUCACAGGGAGUUGCGCAGCCUGAGUGGCCUGCCUUGGUCCAAGUAGUUUGGGACCAACCUCAACCUUGGGGUUUGGUUAAAAGGACUUUAGGCCCUCCUGAGUCCCUACUAUGUGCUGGGCUCACCACAUGCCUUGCCAUAGCCCUGGGCAGGGGGCGCCCCAAGACAGGAAUGUGUACCUCUCCUGUUUAAUAGUGAGUUCCAUGCUGGUUCCUUCACCCUUCAUGCAGGCACCCACCCUAGGUGGUUCUCGGGUGUCCUGGGGGAAGAAAAUGGGGUGCCCCAGGCCAGGGGUUGACACAGUACCCCCUCCCACAUACAUCUUUCAGUGGACUGGGGAGCAUUAGAGUUCAAUGCAGCUGCCUAAGUGGAUUGAUGGAUUAUGUCGACAAAAAGAGACAAACUCUAAAAUAUUUGAAGAGAUGUAUUCUGAGCCAAAUAUGAGGGACCAUAACCCCUGACACAGCUCUCAGGACAUCCUGAGAACAUAUACCCAAGGUGGUUGGGGCGAGCUUGGUUUUACACAUUUUAGAGACAUGAGACAUCAAUCAAAUACAUUUGAGAGAUACAUUGGUUUGGUCCAGAAUGGCUUCCAGGUUAUAGGUAGAUUUAAAAUUUUUCUGAUUGGCAACUGGUUGAAAGAGUUAUUAUCAAUGGAAAGGAAUAUCGGGGUUAUGGUAAGAUGUUGUGUUGAGCAAAGUUUUCUCAUGCAGAUGAAGCCUCUAGGUAGCAGGCUUCAGAGAGAAUAGACUGUCAGUGUUUCUCAUCACACUUAAGGUCUGUGCUGCUGUAAUGCUGGAGGGGAUGAUGAGGCAUGUUGGAACCCCACUUCUCCUCAGGGCCUGAACGAGUCUUUGAGGUUAAAUUUUAGAGUGCCCUGGCCAAGGAAGAAGGCCUUUCAGAUGGCUGGAGGGCCUUAGAAGUUUAUUUUUGCUUUACAGUUGUAUGAUUUAGUUUUCACCAAACUCAACCUCCAAAAUGACCAAGAGGCUCCCAGAAGAUUCCUGCAAAUGAUCUGCAACUAACACCAGGAAUCCAGAGCGGGUGACCCACAGCAGAAGGGCGAGCUGAGAAUUCCUUACCACUCCUGGCAGAGCUCAGGUCACCUGGGGUACAGACGUGACCAGACGUUAGCCCCUGAUAUAAAAAAUCAGCAAACAAAACUCUCUGAGUCCCGCCAUUCUGUGGUUACUGCUGAAGCUUGCCUCGGGUGCCUUGUGCUUGAAGAAUAUAUUGAUCAGUACUGUGAAAUCCUCAUGGUUGUCAAGGCCUCUAAAACUAAGCUUC
Chlorocebus sabaeus (green monkey) is the source of this 1820-nucleotide non-coding RNA. Lineage: Eukaryota; Metazoa; Chordata; Mammalia; Primates; Cercopithecidae. The record is from RefSeq and is a predicted model, not a curated record.